CUACGGGAGGCUGCAGUGGGGAAUAUUGGACAAUGGGGGAAACCCUGAUCCAGCAAUGCCGCGUGUGUGAAGAAGGCCUGCGGGUUGUAAAGCACUUUCGGUUGGGAGGACUGCUUCUAGCACUAAUAUUGUUGGAAGUUGACGUUACCUUCGGAAGAAGCACCGGCUAACUCCGUGCCAGCAGCCGCGUUAAUACGGAGGGUGCAAGCGUUAAUCGGAAUUACUGGGCGUAAAGCGCGCGUAGGCGGCUAGAUCAGUCGGGUGUGAAAGCCCCGGGCUUAACCUGGGAACUGCAUCCGAUACUGUCUAGCUUGAGUACAGGAGAGGAGAGUGGAAUUCCACAUGUAGCGGUGAAAUGCGUAGAUAUGUGGAGGGACACCAAUGGCGAAGGCAGCUCUCUGGCCUGAUACUGACGCUGAGGUGCGAAAGCGUGGGGAGCAAACAGGAUUAGAUACCCUUGUAGUC
This 465-nucleotide ribosomal RNA is filed under the name uncultured bacterium. Its description in RNAcentral is "partial 16S ribosomal RNA". It matches the Rfam family "Bacterial small subunit ribosomal RNA", at positions 339 to 795 of the family's 1533-position model. The record is from RNAcentral.